This 1500-nucleotide ribosomal RNA is filed under the name metagenome. RNAcentral's name for it is "bacterial SSU rRNA". It matches the Rfam family "Bacterial small subunit ribosomal RNA". The record is from RNAcentral.
AGAGUUUGAUCAUGGCUCAGAUUGAACGCUGGCGGCAGGCCUAACACAUGCAAGUCGAACGGUAACAGGAAGCAGCUUGCUGCUUCGCUGACGAGUGGCGGACGGGUGAGUAAUGUCUGGGAGGCUGCCUGAUGGAGGGGGAUAACUACUGGAAACGGUAGCUAAUACCGCAUAAUGUCGCAAGACCAAAGAGGGGGACCUUCGGGCCUCUUGCCAUCGGAUGUGCCCAGAUGGGAUUAGCUUGUUGGUGGGGUAACGGCUCACCAAGGCGACGAUCCCUAGCUGGUCUGAGAGGAUGACCAGCCACACUGGAACUGAGACACGGUCCAGACUCCUACGGGAGGCAGCAGUGGGGAAUAUUGCACAAUGGGCGCAAGCCUGAUGCAGCCAUGCCGCGUGUAUGAAGAAGGCCUUCGGGUUGUAAAGUACUUUCAGCGGGGAGGAAGGGAGUAAAGUUAAUACCUUUGCUCAUUGACGUUACCCGCAGAAGAAGCACCGGCUAACUCCGUGCCAGCAGCCGCGGUAAUACGGAGGGUGCAAGCGUUAAUCGGAAUUACUGGGCGUAAAGCGCACGCAGGCGGUUUGUUAAGUCAGAUGAGAAAUCCCCGGGCUCAACCUGGGAACUGCAUCUGAUACUGGCAAGCUUGAGUCUCGUAGAGGGGGGUAGAAUUCCAGGUGUAGCGGUGAAAUGCGUAGAGAUCUGGAGGAAUACCGGUGGCGAAGGCGGCCCCCUGGACGAAGACUGACGCUCAGGUGCGAAAGCGUGGGGAGCAAACAGGAUUAGAUGCCCUGGUAGUCCACGCCGUAAACGAUGUCGACUUGGAGGUUGUGCCCUUGAGGCGUGGCUUCCGGAGCUAACGCGUUAAGUCGACCGCCUGGGGAGUACGGCCGCAAGGUUAAAACUCAAAUGAAUUGACGGGGGCCCGCACAAGCGGUGGAGCAUGUGGUUUAAUUCGAUGCAACGCGAAGAACCUUACCUGGUCUUGACAUCCACGGAAGUUUUCAGAGAUGAGAAUGUGCCUUCGGGAACCGUGAGACAGGUGCUGCAUGGCUGUCGUCAGCUCGUGUUGUGAAAUGUUGGGUUAAGUCCCGCAACGAGCGCAACCCUUAUCCUUUGUUGCCAGCGGUCCGGCCGGGAACUCAAAGGAGACUGCCAGUGAUAAACUGGAGGAAGGUGGGGAUGACGUCAAGUCAUCAUGGCCCUUACGACCAGGGCUACACACGUGCUACAAUGGCGCAUACAAAGAGAAGCGACCUCGCGAGAGCAAGCGGACCUCAUAAAGUGCGUCGUAGUCCGGAUUGGAGUCUGCAACUCGACUCCAUGAAGUCGGAAUCGCUAGUAAUCGUGGAUCAGAAUGCCACGGUGAAUACGUUCCCGGGCCUUGUACACACCGCCCGUCACACCAUGGGAGUGGGUUGCAAAAGAAGUAGGUAGCUUAACCUUCGGGAGGGCGCUUACCACUUUGUGAUUCAUGACUGGGGUGAAGUCGCAACAAGGUA